CAGUUCCAACAUUGUUGGCGACAAGAUCUUCCACACCGUUCAUUGUCAAGUAAUCAUCGAUCUCUUGCUCCUCAACUUUCUUCACUAACUCUUCAAGUCUUUUGAUACGAGCAUACCAUCACACAGAGACACACACAGAAUACAUAUGUUUCUCUGUGAUUUCUAGCAAGCAUACCAUCAAUUAAAGGGGUUAGCUGAAUCCAUUCGAGUUUCCUACUACUCGAGUUCAUCAUCACCAUCUAAUUUACCUUUUUGAUUGACCUCUUUCUACUUCUUUGUCUCUGUGAUUGAUUAUAUGAUUUUCUCCCUAACUCAUAUCACUUUCUUUUUCAGCUGUGUUGAAUAUUUUAUAUUAGAAUUUCAUCAUAGUUGUUUAAGUCAAAUAUAUUAUAUGUCAGGCUCUUUGCAUCAAAAUAUUUUCUCUUAUUCUUGUCAAACUUGUUUACAUCUUUCGAAUACUAUGGGAUGAUUUAUUCAUUUGAUUUGACUUAACUUAGAUCAUUAGCUUUUUGGACGUAAUAUUUUUCUUUUAUUUUCGACUCGUUCAAAUCAAAUUUUAUUAUCUGACUCUCAUACCAAAUCUCCAUCAAAUAUUACAUAAUUUAUAUCUAUUACAUUGCAUCCUUAGCUUAUUGUAUAUAAUCAUCAAACAGCUGUUCUCUGAUACAUUUAAUAUGAUAUAAGUAAUUAUAUGUUAAGGCUCAAGCAAUAAAUUGUUGCAAUGAAUUGGAUCAUGUAAGUUCUAUUCAUGAAGUGUGACCAAAUAAUGUGGAGAUAUUUACCCCCUUCACUAAACAUUAAUUCGACAAUAUUUUAAUGGAGAAACUUAUGGAAUUGUCCUUUUAUUCUUACUAACAACAAUAAAUUUCUUAGAUAAAGUUCUAUACAACAUCUGAUAUAUUUUUACUUUAUAUCUGCAGGCCAUUUAUCCAAGAAUUGGUUUAGAUCCAUCAAGAGUGGAGCACAGAUUGAAAGAAUUAGUGAGGAGGGAAGCUUAAUUCCAUAGGAAAUUUGUUCCAUGAAAUGAAACACUGGAAUCUUAGUCAAAUGUAACUUAAUUCAGCUCCACAUGAAACCAAAAAAACAAAAGAAGAAAGAAAAAUGUUAAGUGUAGGAUGUUUGAUUUCUGCCCUUUGUAAU
Molecule: long non-coding RNA, 1140 nt
Filed under: Musa acuminata (dwarf banana)
Lineage: Eukaryota; Viridiplantae; Streptophyta; Magnoliopsida; Zingiberales; Musaceae
Description: long non-coding RNA (MACU_LNC000092)
Source: RNAcentral